RNAcentral lists this ribosomal RNA (375 nucleotides) under uncultured organism. RNAcentral's name for it is "partial 16S ribosomal RNA". It matches the Rfam family "Bacterial small subunit ribosomal RNA", at positions 527 to 896 of the family's 1533-position model. The record is from RNAcentral.
GUAGGUGGCAAGCGUUGUCCGGAAUUAUGGGGCGUAAAGCGCGCGCAGGCGGGUCCUUUAAGUCUGAUGUGAAAGCCCACGGGCUCAACCGUGGAGGGUCAUUGGAAACUGGGGGACUUGAGUACAGAAGAGGAAAGCGGAAUUCCAAGUGUAGCGGUGAAAUGCGUAGAGAUUUGGAGGAACACCAGUGGCGAAGGCGGCUUUCUGGUCUGUAACUGACGCUGAGGCGCGAAAGCGUGGGGAGCAAACAGGAUUAGAUACCCUGGUAGUCCACGCCGUAAACGAUGAGUGCUAAGUGUUAGGGGGGUUUCCGCCCCUUAGUGCUGCAGCUAACGCAUUAAGCACUCCGCCUGGGGAGUACGGCCGCAAAGGCUG